UCGCGGGAUAUAUCGAUCAUGUCGCUGUUAUCAGCUCAGAUUGUGAGUGGAACGUCCAUAAUAUUACCAUGGAGUAUAAUUGGGGGGUUUAGCGACAGCUGUUCAGUGGGGGAAUUUUACGAAGACCUGAAACGUGGCAAGUUGGACUUGGAAUUUUUCACUUUCCCAGAAAAGUUGUUAAUCCCCUUGUACUGUAGAAGUCGGUCGCUCUAAAACAGAUUCAUUUGAUCGUGUUAUGCCUUCAGUGCACUUAUCAGAAGUAGUGUCUCUAUUCGGACGUUACAUAAGAUUUACAGCCAGAGUUAAAAGCCUUUUUAGAACAUUGUACUACAUCCAGGUCUUACUCCUUUUGCAUUAAUAAAAAAAUGUGCUGAUCCAAGUUGUUCCAUCUGUACUAGGCCACGCUUGCCUCCUGAGGUUUUUGAGCAGUUACAUCGAUUUCCAGACCCAAUACUGAGUACCCGGUGAAGAUGGGCACUACAAGUCAUUUGAUGAAGUUUAUGGUAGUGAAACUACGGAGGAGCACAGGCCAUCUCUUCAGCAAAGGGCUACAGCGAAUCCAGGUCAUGGGAUACCAUUUUCCCCAAGUGCGCAAGCAGCAAAAACAGUAAAGUGUGUGUUUAUUUGUACAGAAUGUGAAAAACCUUGUGUAGUAUAUGCUGCUAACAAAUUGUCAGAGCAGGAAAUGGCCACUAUAGAGCGCAUUCAGCAGUUAAUUCAAUAUACGUGUGGGUCAUCCCUGCAAGAACUUAAGACUGCCGAUAACAGAACACCACAAGUGAAUGCUUUAUUAGACAAAUGUUUCACCAGGGCCAACUUAACAUGUGAAAUGUCAUUAGAAGUUCCAUAUUUCAGUUCAGGAUGUUUCAAGGACUUGUGUUUUCACUGUGGUGAGGAAGAUGAGCUGCAAAUGAAGCAGGGGCAUAUCCCAUGUGUCUUAAUUGUUCCUCUACAAAAACUCUUCCUUUGAAAAGGAAACAUGUUAAUCUUAAAGAAACUGUUAAAACAAAGAAAAGAGGGAAAUAAACUGUGCUUUUGUAUUUCAUUAUAUGCUAUUAAAUACACAAUAAAAAAGUAACACAACAAGCUAUUUCUACAUUUGAUGCCUUUUGAAAU
Long non-coding RNA from Saccostrea cuccullata (small rock oyster), 1116 nucleotides. RefSeq lists it as uncharacterized. The transcript has 3 exons. The record is from RefSeq and is a predicted model, not a curated record. Lineage: Eukaryota; Metazoa; Mollusca; Bivalvia; Ostreida; Ostreidae.